This 67-nucleotide ribosomal RNA is filed under the name uncultured bacterium. Its description in RNAcentral is "partial 16S ribosomal RNA". It matches the Rfam family "Bacterial small subunit ribosomal RNA", at positions 288 to 354 of the family's 1533-position model. The record is from RNAcentral.
CGCCGCGAGAGGGCGGACGGCCACAUUGGGACUGAGACACGGCCCAAACUCCUACGGGAGGCAGCAG